CGCUUUACGGCACUUCCGCCUCUUUUACGACCGGCCGGCGGUGCCGCAGGAGGGCCCAUGACGGCGGCCGAGCGCUCCCCCCCGCCGCGGGAGGAGGAGGAGGAGGAGGAGGAGGCGGCGGGGGGUGAAGGCCCCCAGGCCCCCCCCGGCCCUGGUGCCCCCCCCGGCCAAGCGGGUGGUGCCGGGGGUGCUCUAUCUCCCUUUUCUCCCCCGGGCUUCGGCCCCGCCAGGCCCGGACCCUGCUGGGGCCCACGGGGAGCUGGGGAGGGUCUUCUUCCAGCCCCGCGGCGGGGGGGUGAGGAAGAGGAGGCGUCGGCCGGGCCCUUCCUCCUUCUCCGAAGGCUGGGUGGAAUUUCGGGACAAACGAGCGGCCAAACGAGCGGCCGCCCUCCUGCAGGGAGCACCCAUGGGCGCCCGCCCCCGCAGCCCCUUCCGCCACCCACCGCUGGAGC
This is a long non-coding RNA of Chroicocephalus ridibundus (black-headed gull), 452 nucleotides long. RefSeq lists it as uncharacterized. The record is from RefSeq and is a predicted model, not a curated record. Lineage: Eukaryota; Metazoa; Chordata; Aves; Charadriiformes; Laridae. The transcript has 3 exons.